Molecule: ribosomal RNA, 622 nt
Filed under: uncultured bacterium
Lineage: Bacteria
Description: bacterial SSU rRNA
Rfam family: Bacterial small subunit ribosomal RNA
Source: RNAcentral
CCUACGGGAGGCAGCAGUAGGGAAUCUUCCGCAAUGGACGAAAGUCUGACGGAGCAACGCCGCGUGAACGAUGAAGGCCUUCGGGUCGUAAAGUUCUGUUGUUAGGGAAGAACAAGUGCUAGUUGAAUAAGCUGGCACCUUGACGGUACCUAACCAGAAAGCCACGGCUAACUACGUGCCAGCAGCCGCGGUAAUACGUAGGUGGCAAGCGUUGUCCGGAAUUAUUGGGCGUAAAGCGCGCGCAGGCGGUUUCUUAAGUCUGAUGUGAAAGCCCCCGGCUCAACCGGGGUAGGGUCAUUGGAAACUGGGAAACUUGAGUGCAGAAGAGGAAAGUGGAAUUCCAAGUGUAGCGGUGAAAUGCGUAGAGAUUUGGAGGAACACCAGUGGCGAAGGCGACUUUCUGGUCUGUAACUGACGCUGAGGCGCGAAAGCGUGGGGAGCAAACAGGAUUAGAUACCCUGGUAGUCCACGGCUGUAAACCGAUGAGUGCUAAGUGUUAGAGGGUUUCCGCCCUUUAGUGCUGAAGUUAACGCAUUAAGCACUCCGCCUGGGGAAAUCGGUCGCAGACUGAAACUCAAAUGAAUUGACGGCNGAGAGNGCGACGACGACGACGAGGGAGAGG